RNAcentral lists this transfer RNA (75 nucleotides) under Candidatus Methanoperedentaceae archaeon GB50. RNAcentral describes it as "Candidatus Methanoperedenaceae archaeon GB50 tRNA-His". It matches the Rfam family "tRNA". From Rfam's summary of the family: Transfer RNA (tRNA) molecules are approximately 80 nucleotides in length. Their secondary structure includes four short double-helical elements and three loops (D, anti-codon, and T loops). Further hydrogen bonds mediate the characteristic L-shaped molecular structure. tRNAs have two regions of fundamental functional importance: the anti-codon, which is responsible for specific mRNA codon recognition, and the 3' end, to which the tRNAs corresponding amino acid is attached (by aminoacyl-tRNA synthetases). tRNAs cope with the degeneracy of the genetic code in two manners: having more than one tRNA (with a specific anti-codon) for a particular amino acid; and 'wobble' base-pairing, i.e. permitting non-standard base-pairing at the 3rd anti-codon position. Lineage: Archaea; Methanobacteriati; Methanobacteriota; Methanomicrobia; Methanosarcinales; Candidatus Methanoperedentaceae. The record is from RNAcentral.
GGUGGGUGUAGCUCAGCGGUUUAGAGCACUGGGCUGUGGCCCCAGGUGUCGGGGGUUCGAAUCCCCUCACCCACC